AACGAACGCUGGCGGCAUGCCUAACACAUGCAAGUCGAACGAGACCUUCGGGUCUAGUGGCGCACGGGUGCGUAACGCGUGGGAACCUGCCCUUAGGUUCGGAAUAACUCAGAGAAAUUUGAGCUAAUACCGGAUAAUGUCUUCGGACCAAAGAUUUAUCGCCUUUGGAUGGGCCCGCGUAGGAUUAGCUUGUUGGUGGGGUAAUGGCCUACCAAGGCGACGAUCCUUAGCUGGUCUGAGAGGAUGAUCAGCCACACUGGGACUGAGACACGGCCCAGACUCCUACGGGAGGCAGCAGUGGGGAAUAUUGGACAAUGGGCGAAAGCCUGAUCCAGCAAUGCCGCGUGAGUGAUGAAGGCCUUAGGGUUGUAAAGCUCUUUUACCAGGGAUGAUAAUGGCAGUACCUGGAGAAUAAGCUCCGGCUAACUCCGUG
Molecule: ribosomal RNA, 433 nt
Filed under: uncultured bacterium
Lineage: Bacteria
Description: partial 16S ribosomal RNA
Rfam family: Bacterial small subunit ribosomal RNA
Source: RNAcentral